Mesocricetus auratus (golden hamster) is the source of this 1173-nucleotide long non-coding RNA. RefSeq lists it as uncharacterized. The record is from RefSeq and is a predicted model, not a curated record. The transcript has 3 exons. Lineage: Eukaryota; Metazoa; Chordata; Mammalia; Rodentia; Cricetidae.
ACCUCCAUCCUCUGAUCUUCAGACAGACUUUAUUUGUACAAGCAAGAUAUCACCACAGUGGCUGGUCCUCUGUCUGGUAAACAUUGCCUCAGAAAAGAGAUCAGGAUCCUAAGUUUCCUGACUCCUUCAGAUACAGAGGACUCAGAUGUGAAGGCAGCUGCCCGGUUUGGCAAAGACCAGCUCCAGCAAGAGAGACCCAGUGGAAAGCAACGUUUUAUAAUAAGAAUGAAGUUGUAGAGAUGAAGGACCAGAUCAUCCGCUGGGUGCAGGGGGACCCUGGCCACAGAGCCCGUGGCAGUGACCAUGAUGCUGCUCAGCCUGGUAGAGCAGCUUGGGGAGAAAGACAGGCGCUGACUGGCAAGUACACAGAACUAAGGGACUUGUGUGCCCACAGGAUUCUGCAGCAUGUCCAGAACUUCAAUCAAUGAUUGGCAAUACCAACUGAAUAGAUGUUGAACUGUAUCAGAUGCUUUCCACACAUUAGUUGAGGUAAGGUAUUUAUGUUCUUCACCAAUAAUAUUUUAUGCCUUGAGAGAUGGCAUUGUGCAGUUCGAUGUGAUUUCCAUGUGUGUCCAUUGGCACAUAAUACCAAUUGUGAUUCAGAUCAUAUCUUUACUGACAUUUUGUUUGUUAAUUGUGCCAAUUCAUUUUUUUUACAAAUGACUGAUGAAGAUGUUUUAAAAUCUCUGAUUAAUAUGAAUGAAAAAGCCUUACUAAAAAUGUUGACCCCAUGCCUGACAAACUCUCUGGAUCCAUCAAACAAUUUACAGGAAAUAGGGAGUUCAGAGAAAACUGUUGAAUUAUUUAAUUGGGCUGUGACCAUCAGCUUCCUAACAUUCACAGUAGAAAUCACAUUUUUGACAAAUAAAUUACAAGGGAGGAAAAUAGAUGUAGUGGGAAGCCCAUAAAUUAGGGUACUUGUAAACAUGAAUGACUUCUGAUCCUAACAAACUGUAAAGAAAAAUGUAAACAACAGAUAAUUUAAAUACAGACUGGCAAUUUGACAAUGUUAAAUAAUUAUUGUUAAGCCAGUAAAAUAACUCAGUAGGUUUAGGCACUUGCUACCAAACCUGACUACCUGAGAUCAAUACCCAGAACCAACAGAGCGAAAGAAAACCAAUUCAAGAAAAUUACUCUCUGAGUUUGCAUUUGCUGUUACACACACAUGAGAGA